GGGGGCGGGGCCGGGGCCGCCCGGGGGCGGGGACUCGGCUCUGGCCCCGCCCCGCGGCCCCGCCCCCGAGGCGCGCGCCGCCCGCAGCCGCCGUGCCGAUGCCACGUGGGAGGCGGCGGAGCCGCCGCCGCCGCCGGGCCGGAGUCGCGGCCCCGCUAACGCUGGGGACGGCGCUCGCCGGCCGCCGCGAGGAGGGGAGGUCGCGGAGCCCCCGGGACCGCACCGGGAUCGCCGAGACCCGAUGGGUGCUCGGCGCGGUGGCGCCCGGCUCGCGGCUCGGCCUCCCGGGCCUAGAGGCGCUGGCGGCGGCGGCCGGGCCUAGGGGCGGCUCUCCGCCCUGGGCGGCGCCCUCGCUGCUGCAGGUGCCGGCGGCGGCCCAGCCGGCCCCGCGGCGGGACGGCAGCGACCUGCCCGCCGGCGCGCCCGCCGCCCUGGCCGUGCUGCGGCUUCAGCCCGGCGCCGAGGGCUCGGCGCGGGCGGCGGCGGCGGCGGCGGCCGGGGCCGCGCCGCGCCUGCGGACCGUCUACGUGAACCCGCGCUGGCUGGAGCGCCAGGCCGCGCUGGGGGCGGCGGCGGCAGCGGCGGCGGCCGCCAGCCCCUGCGCCGAGGCGGCAGCGGCGAGCGGCGCGGCCGGGGCCCCGGCUCCGGCUCCGGCCCCAGCUCCAGCCCCAGCCCCAGCCCCUGCUCCUGCUCCUGCUCCGGCCCCAGCUCCGGCAGCGGCGGCGGCGGCGGGGCAGGGCGAGGCCGAGGCGGCGGCCACCCCCUACGUGGGGCUGCGGCGGCCGCUGGGCUACAAGUUGGCCAAGGCCACGAAGGAGCGGAUCUGGCGGGGGGAGUUCAUUGACCUCUUUUCCUUGCUCCACACAGAGCUGGCCCCCGAGCACGGCCCGCGCCCGGGGGACACGCUGGACCAGUGGGUCUCGGCCUUCCUGGUGUACGCCAGCGUGCUGUGCGAGAAGCACCCGGCGCGCUGCGGAGCCAUGUUCAAGUACCUGGACACCAUCCGCAAGCUGCACGCCACCUACGGGGGCACCUCCUGGAUGAACUACGAUGAGGAUUUCCGGCGGCGGGCGGCCAAGAACCCCUCGCUGCCCUGGGGCGAUGUCGACUUGGACCUGUGGAUGAAGUGGAUGGCACCCCUCAAGUCGCUUGUCCCCAGACGCCUGCGUACCGACAGCGAGACACAGGCCUCGCCGGCCCAGCCGCCACCGCCGGGCCAGAGCCCCAAGCAGGAGGAGAAAAGCCAGACUCCAUGAAAACAGAAGACCAGUUGGGAUGGGAGUCAGACUAAGUGG
This 1295-nucleotide long non-coding RNA is filed under the name Junco hyemalis (dark-eyed junco). Its description in RNAcentral is "lncRNA (ENSJHYG00000006637.1)". Lineage: Eukaryota; Metazoa; Chordata; Aves; Passeriformes; Passerellidae. The record is from RNAcentral.